Molecule: long non-coding RNA, 1303 nt
Filed under: Homo sapiens (human)
Lineage: Eukaryota; Metazoa; Chordata; Mammalia; Primates; Hominidae
Description: HSALNT0252234
Source: RNAcentral
ACAAAUUCAAGAUAAAUGAGGAAAGUGUCCUUUGGAAAAUAAACAUCUACCAUCAGUCCCAUUUGUGGGUUCCCAGGGCAGCUGGUACGAAUCAAGGGGAAUAUGAAACAUCUUCCGCAUCUCUUGACUCACAUCUGGCCCCAACCCACCGCCUUCUGAGUCCAGAAGACUUUACAUCUCACAGUUUCCUCUGCCGCCCCGCAGGCCUGCUUGGACAGCUGUGGCUUGCCGGCACGAAGGCCACGAAGCUGCAGAUCAACCAGUGAGUAUGUGUUCUGUCCUCUUUCCAACUUCCUGCACAACCUGAGCUCCAGACGUGAUGCACAGCAGAGUGACGCAGGCCGGGGUCUCUCCGUGCUAAUUCUGAGCGCAGCUCCCAGAGGCCAAAGACAGGCGAGGCAGGAGCGCCGCCGCUAUUGGAGGAUGGAGGCAGGGAAUGUGGACUGAAGUCCAGAGUGACCCCCGGAAGUCUCUAUAUGGCAAAACCCCAGCUGGCCAUCAGGAGCAGGAAAAGCAAGGCAGCAGGACCAGGAAAGGGGUCAGGAAUGACUCUGAAAGGCUGGGCUUUGGGACGGCAGGAAGGGCUCCACGCUGAGAGCACCGGCUUGGAUGGCCAUCAGGAGAUGGGGCAGUAUCUAAGGAACCUCAGUGGACUCAGCCAGGAAAUCUGCAAAGAAGCCUCAGUUACAGUUGGAAUUAGACAUCAAGGCAAAGGUUGCUGAAAAGGGAAGAUCUUAAAGUAGAAAAAGAGCCAGGAAGGAAGCCUCUGAACAAACACAGAUAGGAAUAGCAGCUUGAGAGAACAGGCCCCCACCCUGGAUAUAAAGUGGGGAGCUGACACCGCGCCAGGACAGAGGCGUCAGAGCCAGCAGUGAACCCAGCUGGGGACGAGGCCAGAAGGGACACAGCCAUCACGGGGUUGAAAUCUCUUAAGCAUUCCUGAUUCAGGAAAGAUUGUCUUAGUCAGAUGCUUGCAAUUUUUCAGUAGGCGGCACACCCAAAACUGAUGUAGACGGGCCGGGCGAGGUGGCUCACGCCGGUAAUCCCAGCACCCUGGGAGGCCGAGGCAGGAGGAUUGCUUGAGCCCAGGAGUUUGAGACCAGCCUGGGCAGCAUGACAAAGCCCCGUCUCUACAAAAAAUACAAAAGUUAGUCAGGCCUGGUGGCAUGUGCCUGUAGACCCAGCUACUCAGAUGGGAGAAGCACCAGAGCCCGAGGAAGUCAAGGCUGCGGUGAGCUAUGAUCACACCACCGCACUACAGCCUGGGCAACAGAUUGAGACCGUGUCUCAAAAAAACAAAAAA